RNAcentral lists this non-coding RNA (21 nucleotides) under Caenorhabditis elegans. The record is from RNAcentral. Lineage: Eukaryota; Metazoa; Nematoda; Chromadorea; Rhabditida; Rhabditidae.
UGAGGUACACACAAAUUCAUA